RNAcentral lists this long non-coding RNA (381 nucleotides) under Androctonus crassicauda. Lineage: Eukaryota; Metazoa; Arthropoda; Arachnida; Scorpiones; Buthidae. The record is from RNAcentral.
CGAGACUCGAAGCCAGGUCCUCCAGAGUGGAAAGCUGAAGCGUUUCCACGCGGCCAAUCCGGUCGACACACUAUGAAUAGUUAAGUCGAUACGACUUUCGAAUGGAUAACAUCAAAUAUACUUUUUUUGGAUUCCCUGAAUUAUCUAGCAUAGUUCUACUAGAAUGCGUUUCUUUAAUAAUAGUGUAAAACACGCUACAGUCAUUUCGAAACUCUCCAUCAGCACAAGAUCAUAUUAUCCCUUCAAGAAAAAACUUCAAUGUUGCAUUUUUUUUCUAACAGAUGAAGCCACUUUCCACUCAUUAAGAGUUCUAAGUGGCGGGACUAAACAAGCCCUUCCACAGGUUGCUCACCUCUUCGGAGGGAUCAGCUGAAUUGUGGA